UACUUAUUAAGAGAGGUGGAGGGAAUAGGUCCGAUGAAGCCCGGCAACCGAUUGGAUUCGGUGCUACAUCCUACAGGAAAGUCCUGAAAGAUAAGUG
Regulatory RNA element from Peptostreptococcaceae bacterium oral taxon 113, 97 nucleotides. It matches the Rfam family "SAM riboswitch aptamer (S box leader)". Rfam says of the family: The SAM riboswitch is found upstream of a number of genes which code for proteins involved in methionine or cysteine biosynthesis in Gram-positive bacteria. The SAM riboswitch acts at the level of transcription termination control. The record is from Rfam. Lineage: Bacteria; Bacillati; Bacillota; Clostridia; Peptostreptococcales; Peptostreptococcaceae.